This 1830-nucleotide long non-coding RNA is filed under the name Piliocolobus tephrosceles (Ugandan red Colobus). RNAcentral's name for it is "lncRNA (ENSPTEG00000016720.1)". The record is from RNAcentral. Lineage: Eukaryota; Metazoa; Chordata; Mammalia; Primates; Cercopithecidae.
AACGAAAAAAUAAACGAAAAAAUAAACUAUUUACAUACCGACAUGAAUGAUAAUGACGUACACUCUUAUAUAAAUAUAGACGAUUGUAAUGAUCAUAUGUCCACAUUAACAAAAUAUAAUAUACAAAAACCAAUAAAUAUAUUAGAUAAAUGUCAAAAAAAUAUAUCACAUGAAAAAACGAAUAAAAAAAAAAAUGUCAAAUUACAGGAAGAAAUAGAAGAGAUUAAAUAUAAUAAUGAUGAAUGUUUUGUUUAUUCAAAAGAAAAGGAAUCAGGAAAUAAAAAAAAAAUUUACUUUGAUCAUUCUUCUUCUGGUGACUACCAGUUAGAAAAUCAAACUAGUAAUUUAUCCAAAUAUGAAAAAAAAAAAAAAUUGUGUUUAAUAAAUGAAAAAGAAUCAUCUGAAUUUAAUGAUGAUUCAGAAACAUUAACAAAUAAACAUUUUCAAACAAUAUCAAAUUUGAAUGAUAAUAACGAAUUAAAAAUAAAUGUAAAAUGUGAUAACUUUUUGUCACCCAGAGAUAAUACAGUAGAAGUUGACACGGAUGUUGGAGAAAGUAUACAAAUUGAGAAAGGUGUACAAAUUGAAGAACAUGUAAGUAAUAAGAAUAAAAUGGGUAAAGAAAAAAAAAGAUUUUUGGUACCAAUUGACUAUGACCCCUACAAUAUAUAUUCAAACGAAGAGAACGAUAAUAAUUCAGAAAUACCAAGCGAGAAUAAUAAUGAUGAUAACAACAAUAACAACUACAACUAUAGCGACAAUUAUAAUAAUGAAAAAUAUUUAUUUUUAAAUAAAUUUCAAGAAAGAAAUAAUAUUAGAAAUGGUUGUAAAAUGUUUCAAAAUUUACGGAAUUUCUUAUCUUCAUUUACUUUUUAUUUCUUUUUUUUUAUUUUUAUAUAUGCAUUUUUAUUAUCAGUUAUGCAUAUAUUUAUUAACUAUUUUUUUUACAUAUAUUUGUUUGUAUUUAAUAUAAAUAUCUAUGUUUCAAACAUUUAUACAAUAAUUAUGACAUUUGUUUCUCUUUUAGCAAUACCAUUUUCUGGUUAUAUACUUGAUAAUAUAAACAACUUCUUGUCUCUUCUUGUGUGCUCUUCCCUUUUUAUUCUGACAGCAAUAUCAGGGUCCAUAUAUUGUUAUAUAAACAACAUAAGUUCGGAGUUAUUGGCUUUUAUAUUUUUCAACUUAAUAGGUAUAAGUGAAUCUGUUAUUCCAACAGUUAUUAUUUCCCAGAUACCAACUCAUUUAUGCGUAAAAAGUAAUGAACAUAUUAUUGCUGCUUUCGCAAUAUUUGAGCUGGUUUCAAUGAUAAUCAUAAGUUUAAAUAAUUAUGCUUUUGGUUAUUUCUUAAUUAAAAAAGAGUACUUGAAGGGUCUAUACAUAUUACUUUUUUUGGUUAUACUUGUUAUUAUCCUUAUAAUUUUGUUAAUGGUGACAAUUUAUUUAAAAAAAAAAACAAAAAACUAUUCGUAUAAUAGUACAAAUAAUUUGUACUUAACACGCCCACUUCUUUAAAAUUAGCUUAUAUUUAUAUUUGUGUAUGGCGUUACUUUUUUUUUUUUAUUUUAUUUACUUUUUUUUACUUUAUAUUACUGCCCAUUUAAUGUUUUUAUGGUGUAUUUAACAUAGUUAUAAACUUAUAUUUUUUUAUUUGUGUUCCCCAUUUGACAUGUACACAUAUAUAUGUACAUAUAUGUGUGUAUAUAUAUUCAUGUAUGCUAUAAUGUAAUUCUAUUUAUAUUUACAUUUUUUUUUUUUUGUUAAUAUAAUAGUUAUGUAUGGAAACUUUUACUUAUUAAUAAAACAAAAUUUUAUGCGAGUUAUUAGUCUUGU